Molecule: ribosomal RNA, 301 nt
Filed under: uncultured bacterium
Lineage: Bacteria
Description: partial 16S ribosomal RNA
Rfam family: Bacterial small subunit ribosomal RNA
Source: RNAcentral
CAGCAGCCACGGUAAUACGUAGGUGGCAAGCGUUGUCCGGAAUUAUUGGGCGUAAAGGGCUCGCAGGCGGUUUCUUAAGUCUGAUGUGAAAGCCCCCGGCUCAACCGGGGAGGGUCAUUGGAAACUGGGAAACUUGAGUGCAGAAGAGGAGAGUGGAAUUCCACGUGUAGCGGUGAAAUGCGUAGAGAUGUGGAGGAACACCAGUGGCGAAGGCGACUCUCUGGUCUGUAACUGACGCUGAGGAGCGAAAGCGUGGGGAGCGAGCAGGAUUAGAUACCCCGGUAGUCCCUGUCUCUUAUAC